CCUACGGGAGGCAGCAGUAGGGAAUAUUGCUCAAUGGGGGAAACCCUGAAGCAGCAACGCCGCGUGGAGGAUGAAGGUUUUCGGAUUGUAAACUCCUUUUGUUAGAGAAGAUAAUGACGGUAUCUAACGAAUAAGCACCGGCUAACUCCGUGCCAGCAGCCGCGGUAAUACGGAGGGUGCAAGCGUUACUCGGAAUCACUGGGCGUAAAGAGCGCGUAGGCGGGAUAGCAAGUCAGAUGUGAAAUCCUAUGGCUUAACCAUAGAACUGCAUUUGAAACUGUUAUUCUAGAGUAUGGGAGAGGGAGGUGGAAUUCGUGGGGUAGGGGUAAAAGCAGUAGAGAAAAAGAGGAAUACUCAUGGCGAAGGGGACCGGAAAGAACAUAACUGACGCGGAUGCGCGAAAGCGUGGGGAGAAAACAGGAUUAGAUACCCGAGUAGUC
This 440-nucleotide ribosomal RNA is filed under the name uncultured bacterium. RNAcentral's name for it is "partial 16S ribosomal RNA". It matches the Rfam family "Bacterial small subunit ribosomal RNA", at positions 338 to 795 of the family's 1533-position model. The record is from RNAcentral.